Non-coding RNA from Copromyces sp. CBS 386.78, 74 nucleotides. The record is from the annotation of a GenBank genome assembly. Lineage: Eukaryota; Fungi; Ascomycota; Sordariomycetes; Sordariales; Sordariaceae.
GCACGGUUAGCUCAGUCGGUAGAGCGUUGGCCCGUUCGAGGCCAAGGUCACAGGUUCGAGUCCUGUACUGUGCA